This 115-nucleotide non-coding RNA is filed under the name Halobacillus halophilus. RNAcentral's name for it is "SAM-I sequence". It matches the Rfam family "SAM riboswitch aptamer (S box leader)". From Rfam's summary of the family: The SAM riboswitch is found upstream of a number of genes which code for proteins involved in methionine or cysteine biosynthesis in Gram-positive bacteria. The SAM riboswitch acts at the level of transcription termination control. RNAcentral also lists the same sequence under 1 other name. Lineage: Bacteria; Bacillati; Bacillota; Bacilli; Caryophanales; Bacillaceae. The record is from RNAcentral.
UUCUUAUCUAGAGAGGUGGAGGGACUGGCCCUACGAAACCUCGGCAGCGGGACUGAUGCGUCAUCAGAAACUGUGCCAACUCCAGCAGGUGCUUUAUGCACGUGAAAGAUGAGAA